GACGAACGCUGGCGGCGUGCUUAACACAUGCAAGUCGAACGGAAAGGCCCUGCUUUUGUGUGUUGCUUGAGUGGCGAACGGGUGAGUAACACGUGAGUAACCUGCCCUUGUCUGUGGGAUAACUUCACGAAACUGGGGCUAAUAUCGCAUAGGAUCUCCUGCUGCAUGGUGUGGGUAGGAAAGUUUCGGCGGUUGGGGAUGUACUCGCGGCUUAUCAGCUGGUUGGUGAGGUAGUGGCUUACGAAGGCUUUGACGGGUAGCCGGCCUGAGCGGGUGAACGGCCACAUGGGGACUGCGAUACGGCCCAGAAGCCUACGGGAGGCAGCAGUGGGGAAUAUGGCACAAUGGGCGGAAGCCUGAUGCAGCAACGCCGCGUGCGGGAUGACGGCCUUCGGGUUGUGAACCGCUUUCGCCUGUGACGAAGAGUGAGUGACGGUAAUGGGUAAAGAAGCACCGGCUAACUACGUG
RNAcentral lists this ribosomal RNA (468 nucleotides) under uncultured bacterium. RNAcentral's name for it is "partial 16S ribosomal RNA". It matches the Rfam family "Bacterial small subunit ribosomal RNA", at positions 28 to 507 of the family's 1533-position model. The record is from RNAcentral.